RNAcentral lists this ribosomal RNA (468 nucleotides) under uncultured bacterium. RNAcentral describes it as "partial 16S ribosomal RNA". It matches the Rfam family "Bacterial small subunit ribosomal RNA", at positions 28 to 507 of the family's 1533-position model. The record is from RNAcentral.
GACGAACGCUGGCGGCGUGCUUAACACAUGCAAGUCGAACGGAAAGGCCCUGCUUUUGUGGGGUGCUCGAGUGGCGAACGGGUGAGUAACACUUGAGUAACCUGCCCUUGACUUUGGGAUAACUUCAUGAAACUUGGUCUAAUACCGGAUAGGAUCUCCUGCUUCAUGGUGGGGGUUGGAUAGUUUCGGCGGUUGGUGAUGGACUCGCGGCUUAUCAGCUUGUUGGUGGGGUAGUGGCUUACCAAGGCUUUGACGGGUAGCCGGCCUGGGAGGGUGACCGGACAAACUGGGACUGAGAUGAGGCCCAGACUAGAACGGGAGGGAGAAGAGGAGAAUAGAGCACAAUGGGCGGAAGCAAGAUGCAGCAAAGCAGCGUGCGGGAUGACAGGAAUGGGGUUGUAAACCAAAUUCGCCUGUGACGAAGCGUGAGUGACGGUAAUGGGUAAAGAAGCACCGGCUAACUACGUG